CUGCUGUUGCUGCCGCCGCUGGAGUCGCUCCUGCAGGCCUGCCAGCCUCCGUCCACACGCUGGUUCACCAUGACGGCGGACAAAGCUGGAACAGUCAGACAACCGCGACCGGAGACGGAUUUAAGACAAAGGACGCAUACAGAGCAGCAAGUGAACGCCACGCAGCAGCAGAGCAGACCGACUAAACUUAGUUGAACAGGGUCUCUGUAGCCGUUGAUGAAGCCCUCUGUACACAUGCAGAUAUCCACCUGAAUCCUUUCUUCCUCCACAAAAGACAAGAUCUCUCAGACUGUGUGACGCUUCCGUCUGAGGAGGCCCAGUUUUCGACUAUUUCAAUGUUCUAAUGCUAAUAUAACAGACUAUUUUUUUAUCCAUCUUUGUUGUUAAGUGUUGAAACGAGACGUUUCAUCUGGAGGAGGGGGACGUUUGUUUAUAUUCAAAUUCAGAACACAGAUGACAUACACAUAAAGAAUAACAAAGAAAAUUACAGUGUACAUCAAUUGCUCAAAGUAAAAGCUGGGGGGGGGGGGGAUGCAUAAAAAAAAAAUUAUAAUAAAUUAUAAAGCUGAACAAAAUUACAUGUUUUAAUUGCUUUUUUUGUUUGGAGUGGAGAAAUAGAAUGCAAGUAAAAUCUAAUUUGGGCCCCCAAAAAAUUGGGAGCUUUAUUGGUAAAUUGAGUUUUGUGAAUAUAAUACUUGGUAAGUAAAUCAGGAGAUUUAUUGAGACGAAAGUUUAGUAUCAUAAGUAAUAAAACCAAAUAAGAUGUUUUUCCACGUUGAAGUAAAUGUGGAUAAAUGUUAGUUGUUUUUUUUUUUACUUGUCCUGUCCAACAGCUGAGCAGACAGAUGAGAGC
This is a non-coding RNA of Oryzias latipes (Japanese medaka), 853 nucleotides long. The record is from RefSeq and is a predicted model, not a curated record. Lineage: Eukaryota; Metazoa; Chordata; Actinopteri; Beloniformes; Adrianichthyidae.